AGUGAACGCUGGCGGUAGGCCUAACACAUGCAAGUCGAACGGCAGCACAGUAAGAGCUUGCUCUUACGGGUGGCGAGUGGCGGACGGGUGAGGAAUACAUCGGAAUCUACUUUUUCGUGGGGGAUAACGUAGGGAAACUUACGCUAAUACCGCAUACGACCUACGGGUGAAAGCAGGGGAUCUUCGGACCUUGCGCGAUUGAAUGAGCCGAUGUCGGAUUAGCUAGUUGGCGGGGUAAAGGGCCACCAAGGCGACGAUCCGUAGCUGGUCUGAGAGGAUGAUCACACACCUGGGAAGGGAGACAGGUCCCAGACGCUGACGCGAGGACGCAGUGGAGAAUAUUAGACAAGGGGGGCGAGCCUGAUACAGCCAUACCGCGUGGGUGAAGAAGGCGUUCGGGUUGUAAAGCCCUUUUGUGGGGAGAGAAAAGCAGCAGGUUGAUACCCCGCGGUACUGACGGUACCCAAAGAAUAAGCACCGGCUAACUUCGUG
This 492-nucleotide ribosomal RNA is filed under the name uncultured bacterium. Its description in RNAcentral is "partial 16S ribosomal RNA". It matches the Rfam family "Bacterial small subunit ribosomal RNA", at positions 29 to 507 of the family's 1533-position model. The record is from RNAcentral.